RNAcentral lists this transfer RNA (87 nucleotides) under Helianthus annuus (common sunflower). RNAcentral describes it as "tRNA-Leu". It matches the Rfam family "tRNA". Rfam says of the family: Transfer RNA (tRNA) molecules are approximately 80 nucleotides in length. Their secondary structure includes four short double-helical elements and three loops (D, anti-codon, and T loops). Further hydrogen bonds mediate the characteristic L-shaped molecular structure. tRNAs have two regions of fundamental functional importance: the anti-codon, which is responsible for specific mRNA codon recognition, and the 3' end, to which the tRNAs corresponding amino acid is attached (by aminoacyl-tRNA synthetases). tRNAs cope with the degeneracy of the genetic code in two manners: having more than one tRNA (with a specific anti-codon) for a particular amino acid; and 'wobble' base-pairing, i.e. permitting non-standard base-pairing at the 3rd anti-codon position. The record is from RNAcentral. Lineage: Eukaryota; Viridiplantae; Streptophyta; Magnoliopsida; Asterales; Asteraceae.
GUGUCAGGAUGGCCGAGUGGUCUAAGGCGCCAGACUCAAGUUCUGGUCUUCGAGAGAGGGCGUGGGUUCAAAUCCCACUUCUGACAU